AGAACGAACGCUGGCGGCAGGCUUAACACAUGCAAGUUGAACGGGAGUGUUGAGAUAGCUUGCUAUUUUAACAUGAGAGUAGCGCACUGGUGAGUAACACGUGGGAACGUACCUUUUAGUGGGGGACAACAGUUGGAAACGACUGCUAAUACCGCAUAAGCCCUGAGGGGGAAAGGAGCAAUUCGCUGAGAGAGCGGCCCGCGGAAGAUUAGGCAGUUGGUGGGGUAAAGGCCUACCAAACCUACGAUCUAUAGCUGAUCUGAGAGGAUGAACAGCCACAUUGGAACUGAGACACGGUCCAGACUCCUACGGGAGGCAGCAGUGAGGAAUAUUGGGCAAUGGAGGAAACUCUGACCCAGCCAUGCCGCGUGAGUGAGAAGGUCUUCGGAUUGUAAAGCUCUUUUGUGCAGGAAGAUGAUGACAGUACUGCAAGAAAAAGCACCGGCAAACUUCGUGCCAGCAGCCGC
This 467-nucleotide ribosomal RNA is filed under the name uncultured bacterium. Its description in RNAcentral is "bacterial SSU rRNA". It matches the Rfam family "Bacterial small subunit ribosomal RNA", at positions 26 to 518 of the family's 1533-position model. The record is from RNAcentral.